GUUAUCAGUUCAAAAUCUUACUAAUGCUUAUCAUGGGGGAGGGAGGGUUAUAAAAUGCUCAAAAUUGUGCUUACGUAAUUUAUGAACAGCCCCAUAAGUUCAGCAAAUCUCCCUAGUAAUAAACAGGCAACACCAGCUAAUCGGACAAUAUCGAAUUAAAAAAUUGUAUUUUCUUUAAACAUAGUAAUUAAUUAACAAAACUUACCAAUGAAAAGUAAUCUUGGUCUUAUUAUACGGUU
RNAcentral lists this unclassified non-coding RNA (239 nucleotides) under Melitaea cinxia (Glanville fritillary). Its description in RNAcentral is "misc RNA ENSMCXG00005000524.1". The record is from RNAcentral. Lineage: Eukaryota; Metazoa; Arthropoda; Insecta; Lepidoptera; Nymphalidae.